This 253-nucleotide ribosomal RNA is filed under the name uncultured bacterium. Its description in RNAcentral is "partial 16S ribosomal RNA". It matches the Rfam family "Bacterial small subunit ribosomal RNA", at positions 524 to 776 of the family's 1533-position model. The record is from RNAcentral.
UACGGAGGGGGCUAGCGUUGUUCGGAAUUACUGGGCGUAAAGCGCACGUAGGCGGCUUUGUAAGUUAGAGGUGAAAGCCCGGGGCUCAACUCCGGAAUUGCCUUUAAGACUGCAUCGCUAGAAUUGUGGAGAGGUAAGUGGAAUUCCGAGUGUAGAGGUGAAAUUCGUAGAUAUUCGGAAGAACACCAGUGGCGAAGGCGACUUACUGGACACAUAUUGACGCUGAGGUGCGAAAGCGUGGGGAGCGAUCCGG